Molecule: unclassified non-coding RNA, 1770 nt
Filed under: Hevea brasiliensis (rubber tree)
Lineage: Eukaryota; Viridiplantae; Streptophyta; Magnoliopsida; Malpighiales; Euphorbiaceae
Source: RNAcentral
AAUAAUUACAAUCACUAAUUAUUUCUCUCCCUCACAAAUCCACUCAAAGAAAACUCACAAGUUUUCGGUGCACCUCUUACAACUACUUUUUGGGUACAUGCUCCAACCCACGUCAACUCACAAAUUCGGUGGCCUGCUUCUCUCAACUUGAGGAAAUUUUUGGCCAACCAUCUUUAUGCUUUUAUAGGCCACCAAGUCAAGUCCAAUUUGGGACUUUAAUGUUUUCCAAUUCCAACUUUAAGUUGGACUCUUAAACUACCAAAAUUCUUCCUUUUUUUUUUUCAAUUUCUUCCUGGUAAAUUCUGCUUAAACUUCAUAUUUAAUUUUAAAUCCUAAUUCUGUUUGGUCUUGGAUCUCCAACAUGAAUAGUGUUAUUGCUUACUGGAAUCAAUCCAGUGCAAGUUUCUUUAUUGUCAUAACUUAUAUGAUAUUAACUGCUUAAGCUUGGUCUUUUGUUCUGUCCUUCUAUCGAGAUUAUUGGAAAAAGAGGAAUGAAAUUUAAAUCCUUUAUCCUUUUAAAAUUGCACAGACGCAUCAUGGAAACGGGUUCUGAGAUGUGUGCGGUGUGUGUGACUAUCAUAGUUAGCUCAGUCUUUUCCAAUCAUUUUGCAGAUUUUUGUUAGUGUUUUUUGUCAAGCUAAAUAGACGACUGUAAUGGGCAUUUUGACUUCCCCUCUUUAUGGUGGUAACUAGAACUUCAAUAUGGCACUAAAAGCGAUAAACUUGAUUUUACAAUUGUAUGUGAUUGCAUUAGGUCAUUCUAACACCUACUUUCAUCGGACAUUAUCUUGUAGAGUUGUCAAUGCAUAUUUUUUCCUCUUUGCUUUUGGUCAUGUGAUUAUUUUUCACCUUAUGCUGAAUGAUUGGGCUAACAUCUAUAAUUCUCAGAGAACGUUUGGGGUUUCGAGCCUUCAGAAGGAGGAUGAGGAAGACUUUAGAAAGCUGAGGCAGCUUGCCUCAGCUGUCUACCUGCAAGUGAGCACAAUUAGCCAGGCCCUCAUAUUUGUGACUCGGUCUAGGAGUUGGUCUUUUGUUGAACGUCCUGGCCUUUUACUUGUAUCAGCUUUUGUUAUUGCUCAGCUGGUAGUGAAUUUUAAUUUGGAACUCUGUUUCUUUUAAGUACAAUUAUUACUAGAACAUAUGAUUUACUACUUGCUUUUCUUUCAAGGGCAGAUUGCUACUUUGAUUGCUGUCUAUGCAAACUGGAGCUUCGCUGCAAUUGAGGGCAUUGGAUGGGGUUGGGCUGGCAUCGUUUGGCUCUACAACCUUAUCUUCUAUUUCCCACUUGAUUUUAUCAAGUUCUUCAUCCGAUACGCCUUGAGUGGGAAAGCUUGGGAUCUUGUCAUUGAGCAAAGGAUUGCCUUCACAAGGAAAAAAGAUUUUGGGAAGGAAGAACGUGAGCUUAAAUGGGCACAUGCACAAAGGACCCUGCAUGGUUUGCAUCCACCUGAUACCAAGAUGUUCAACGACCGCAGUAGUUACACAGAACUUAAUCAGAUGGCUGAAGAGGCAAAACGACGAGCUGAGAUUGCAAGACUAAGAGAACUGCAUACCCUGAAAGGGCAUGUUGAAUCAGUAGUGAGACUGAAGGGUCUGGACAUCGACACGAUUCAGCAAGCAUACACGGUCUGAGAGAUUAGAUUGUUUUUGCAUCCUCAGAGGUAUAUUAUACUUCUUAUAGAUGAAAGUGAAAUGUGUAAUUUAAUCUUCUGAAUGUAUAAAAACCAUAAUCUAGGAGCAAUUCUGUAUCAUAUUUUAGGACGAGUGUUU